GGUUAAGCGACUAAGCGUACACGGUGGAUGCCCUGGCAGUCAGAGGCGAUGAAGGGCGUGCUAAUCUGCGAUAAGCGCCGGUAAGGUGAUAUGAACCGUUAUAACCGGCGAUACCCGAAUGGGGAAACCCAGUGUGAUUCGUCACACUAUCAUUAACUGAAUCCAUAGGUUAAUGAGGCGAACCGGGGGAACUGAAACAUCUAAGUACCCCGAGGAAAAGAAAUCAACCGAGAUUCCCCCAGUAGCGGCGAGCGAACGGGGAGGAGCCCAGAGCCUGAAUCAGCAUGUGUGUUAGUGGAAGUGUCUGGAAAGGCGCGCGAUACAGGGUGACAGCCCCGUACACAAAAGCGCAUGUGCUGUGAGCUCGAUGAGUAGGGCGGGACACGUGGUAUCCUGUCUGAAUAUGGGGGGACCAUCCUCCAAGGCUAAAUACUCCUGACUGACCGAUAGUGAACCAGUACCGUGAGGGAAAGGCGAAAAGAACCCCGGCGAGGGGAGUGAAAAAGAACCUGAAACCGUGUACGUACAAGCAGUGGGAGCACAGGUUUACCUG
RNAcentral lists this ribosomal RNA (553 nucleotides) under Salmonella enterica subsp. enterica serovar Abortusovis. Its description in RNAcentral is "partial 23S ribosomal RNA". It matches the Rfam family "Bacterial large subunit ribosomal RNA", at positions 1 to 591 of the family's 2925-position model. The record is from RNAcentral. Lineage: Bacteria; Pseudomonadati; Pseudomonadota; Gammaproteobacteria; Enterobacterales; Enterobacteriaceae. RNAcentral also lists the same sequence under 1 other name.